UACGUAGGUGGCAAGCGUUGUCCGGAUUUACUGGGCGUAAAGGGCGUGCAGGCGGUCUGUUAAGUGCAGGGUGAAAGCUCCCGGCUCAACUGGGAGAGGUCCUUGCAUACUGGCGGACUUGAGGGGGGUAGAGGAAAGUGGAAUUCCCGGUGUAGUGGUGAUAUGCGUAGAUAUCGGGAGGAACACCUGUGGCGAAGGCGGCUUUCUGGGCCCUACCUGACACUGAGACGCGAAAGCGUGGGGAGCGAACCGG
Molecule: ribosomal RNA, 253 nt
Filed under: uncultured bacterium
Lineage: Bacteria
Description: partial 16S ribosomal RNA
Rfam family: Bacterial small subunit ribosomal RNA
Source: RNAcentral